GACGAACGCUGGCGGCGUGCUUAACACAUGCAAGUCGUACGGUAAGGCCCUGCUUUUGUUGGGUGCUCGAGUGGCGAACGGGUGAGUAACAAGUGAGUAACCUUCCCUUUACUUUUGGAUAACUUCAGGAAACUGGGGCUAAUACCGGAUAUUAGCUCCUGCUGCAUGGUGGGGGUUGGAAAGUUUCGGCGGUUGGGGAUGGACUCGCGGCUUAUCAGCUUGUUGGUGGGGUAGUGGCUUACCAAGGCUUUGACGGGUAGCCGGCCUGAGAGGGUGACCGGCCACAUUGGGACUGAGAUACGGCCCAGACUCCUACGGGAGGCAGCAGUGGGGAAUAUUGCACAAUGGGCGGAAGCCUGAUGCAGCAACGCCGCGUGAGGGAUGACGGCCUUCGGGUUGUAAACCGCUUUCGCCUGUGACGAAGCGUGAGUGACGGUAAUAGGUAAAGAAGCACCGGCUAACUACGUG
This 468-nucleotide ribosomal RNA is filed under the name uncultured bacterium. RNAcentral describes it as "partial 16S ribosomal RNA". It matches the Rfam family "Bacterial small subunit ribosomal RNA", at positions 28 to 507 of the family's 1533-position model. The record is from RNAcentral.